RNAcentral lists this ribosomal RNA (419 nucleotides) under Platnickina punctosparsa. Its description in RNAcentral is "partial 16S ribosomal RNA". It matches the Rfam family "Archaeal large subunit ribosomal RNA", at positions 1953 to 2671 of the family's 2987-position model. Lineage: Eukaryota; Metazoa; Arthropoda; Arachnida; Araneae; Theridiidae. The record is from RNAcentral.
CCUGCUCAAUGAAAUUUUAAAUAGCCGCAGUUAUUCUGUGCUAAGGUAGCAUAAUCAUUUGUUUUUUAAUUAAAAACUAGAAUGAAAGGUUUAACGUUUUAAUUAUUUUAUUAUUAAUAAAAUUUUAAUCUAUACUAAAUAUAAAAAUAUAUUUAUUAUAUAAAUAGACGACAAGACCCUAUUGAACUUCACUUUAGUUUAGCUGGGGCAGCUUAAUAAUUAAUAUUUUAUAAAAUCCAAUAAAUCACAAAUUAUCCAAUAACAUUGAUAUGUUAAACAAGUUACCAUAGGGAUAACAGCAUAAUAUUAUUUUAAAGUUCUUAUUAAAAAUAAUGUUUGUGACCUCGAUGUUGAAUUAUUAUCACUAAGUAAAUGCAAUAGUUACAAAAGUAAGUCUGUUCGACUUUUAAUAUAAUACA